GGCGUGGAUUAGGCAUGCAAGUCGAGCGGAAAGGCUACCUUCGGGUAGUACUCGAGCGGCGCAUGGGAGAGUAACGCGUGGACACCUGCCCCUAGCUACGGCAUAGCGGCGGGAAACUGCCGGUAAUACCGUAUAAUGUCUCCGGACUAAAGGUGUGAUUCCGGCUAGGGAGGGGUCCGCGUCCUAUUAGGAAGAUGGUGGGGUAACGGCCUACCAUUCCUGAGAUGGGUAGCGGGUGUGAGAGCAUGGCCCGCCUCACUGGGACUGAAACACUGCCCAGACACCUACGGGUGGCUGCAGUCGAGAAUCUUCGGCAAUGGGCGAAAGCCUGACCGAGCGACGCCGCGUGCGGGAUGAAGGCCUUCGGGUUGUAAACCGCUGUCAGAGGGGAGGAAAUGUUUGCGGGCUAUCCCGCUUACUUGACCCAUCCUCAGAGGAAGUACGGGCUAAGUUCGUGCCAGCAGCCGCGGUAAUACGAACCGUACGAACGUUAUUCGGAAUCACUGGGCUUAAAGAGUGCGUAGGCGGCCUAGCAAGUUGGGUGUGAAAUCCCUCGGCUCAACCGAGGAACUGCGCCCAAAACUGUUAGGCUUGAGGGAGGCAGAGGUGAGCGGAACUAAUGGUGGAGCGGUGAAAUGCGUUGAUAUCAUUAGGAACACCGGUGGCGAAGGCGGCUCACUGGGCCUCUUCUGACGCUGAGGCACGAAAGCUAGGGGAGCGAACGGGAUUAGAUACCCCGGUAGUCCUAGCUGUAAACGAUGAGCACUAGGUUGUGGGACCUUCCACAGUUUCACGACCGUAGCGAAAG
RNAcentral lists this ribosomal RNA (808 nucleotides) under uncultured Planctomycetales bacterium. RNAcentral describes it as "SSU rRNA". It matches the Rfam family "Bacterial small subunit ribosomal RNA", at positions 41 to 857 of the family's 1533-position model. Lineage: Bacteria; Pseudomonadati; Planctomycetota; Planctomycetia; Planctomycetales. The record is from RNAcentral.